GGGGUCUGUUGUACAGUGCUAAGAGUUCCUGUUUCUUUGGUACAGUGCUGUCAAGCAAGAAAAAGGUGGUUGUUUUUUUUUAAAGAAAAAAGUAGGAUGAUUCUAACAUUAUAGUAGAUGAACAUUCAGACACACGCAACAAGGGAGCCAAUUUUUCGUCAUUAUGAAUGCAUAUUGGGACAGAAUCAGGCAGUGUUCAUGCAGCUGUGUUUUUGUCACUGUAAGUAAACAAGCUGGUGGGAUCAUACAUGUGGAGGAACCACCUUAAAACUCAAAUAUAGCGUGGUGGACUGGUCUGCAAGGCAGCUCCUUCCUUCAGUGAAUGGUGUGCCAUGGCAGAUAAAUGGGAAGCACAAAAAUGGGAUGAUUUGGAAUAUUCAGAACCAUAAAUGUAUUGAGCCUGGAAAUUUGGAAAGAGAAAGUAUUGAAAACAGAAGAUCUGAUUUCCUCGAGGAAGAAUACGGGAACAAAUGAGCUCUCGCCAAAGGGCCUUUUCUGGGUUCUGUAUUCAGCUUCCGGGAGGUCAUCUGAUAUUAAAGCUGUUUUUUCCAUCAAAAGA
Molecule: long non-coding RNA, 559 nt
Organism: Gallus gallus (chicken)
Lineage: Eukaryota; Metazoa; Chordata; Aves; Galliformes; Phasianidae
Source: Ensembl